This is a long non-coding RNA of Podarcis raffonei (Aeolian wall lizard), 1714 nucleotides long. RefSeq lists it as uncharacterized. NCBI's taxonomy places the organism in Eukaryota, Metazoa, Chordata, Lepidosauria, Squamata, Lacertidae. The transcript has 3 exons. The record is from RefSeq and is a predicted model, not a curated record.
AGAGAGAAGACUCUCCUUCAGCCAUUCAGAGUAUCCCUAGAGGGGACCACUGGCAGCUGCCUGAGAGGAGGGGAGCAGCCCUUCCAAAAAAUCUUCACUUUCAUUCCUUCUUUUUUACCGACGGCAUUAGAGGACUCCAAGGCCAUCUCCUCCAACCUCGAGACCACAGCAUGGCCUAGGUGUUGACUGUGAUGAACAGAGAGCAAACACCUCCAGAUUAACACCCAAGAUAAUCCAGUGUGUUGGCCAUGUUAAAUCUUGCCCCGUGACCUCUCUCUGAGCCUUUGUCUGCCUGGGUGCCAAGCCGCAGUUCCUGUUUUUAUUUGUAAGCCGCCUUCAAGGAAAAAGGUGGAGUAUAAAUACAUAUAACAACAACAACAGUUUUUAAAAAUGAAUCACAUCCACAGGAAUAGGCUGUGUCCUUAAAAUAUAUACAUCUCAGAUGUCACAGGCCAUGGUAAAGAGGUGUGUUUUCAUAAUUUGUGGAAAGCUGUAUAGUGAAGGCGCCAUACACACCUCUGCGGGGUGGAAAUUCUACAAUUUAGGGGCUGCCAAAGACAACGCCCUUGCCAUGGCCCAGGCUACCCACUCCCCCAACUUCUGAGGGGGGCCAAACAAUCAAGAAGGCCCCUUCCACUGAUCUUAACACCCAAAAGGGCUUGCAGAGAAGGAGGCAAUCAGCACAAUUAAAAGUGAAUGAAAGGUGUUUUCUCUACAUUUUACUCAGAGUAGACCCACCAAGAUUAAUGGACUUAUGUUAGCCAUGUCAUGAAUACAUCCCUAAGGUCUUUGGUGCAAGAAAGUCACUUGAAACAGCUCACCCUGGCCGCAAAAUGGUCUUAUUGCAGUUUGGGAAAUGAUGUGAAAAUGCACUGAAAACUGUGGGGUCAAGGAAUGACUAACAGGAACACCCCAUACACAAAUCAGGAUGAAUGCUUAUUGCCAUAUACAACCUUCAUAUAAACAAAUCUGAACAAAUGCUCAGCAAAGACCAGGCAUCAUCUAACCACUGCGUAAACGUCACGCAGGCAGAACAGGAUGAAUAAACUGGUUGUUUGGGCUUCAGCCACAAUAAGCACAAAUGGGGGGAAUAUAGCAAGGAAAGAGGGAGAUUCCUAAAAGCAUAACAAAUGCUUGCUUGGAUUUUUCCAGGUUCUUUUCUUUUAUGUCUUUCCAUCCCUCUCCACAGGUUCAGAGGAGGCAAGCUCACGGGUAAGGUCUGAAUCCUGCCAAGCUGCCCAAACAAGCAGUCAUUUUCCUGGGUCAGACAUUGAUCAUCUGUUGCUGAACCACCCAGCAGGGCUGGCAGAGAACAGAGAGGCCACAGAUGUUUCCCUCUGGAUGGCUCCGAGUGAAAGGAAAGAUGGUUAAGAAAUCUGAGCAGAAGCCAAGCCCACAGAGGCGAGAGCUAUCUAGGGUCAAAGCACUCUCCGGAGUUGGCCAGCUUCACCCAAGAGAAGUGGAACAACACAGAUGUGAUCAAACAAGACCCACACACAAGAACAUGGCUAGUCAUGCUGGAUCAGGCACCAUCUCGUACUUUUGACAGCUUGGGGGAGGCUCUCCCCCCCCCAAGAAGCAGCCUGGGAGCGGGGGGCAACAGCACAUGGCCCGCCUGCAACUCCCAAGCCUCCCCUGAGCUUCAAAAUGAAGGGGGAAGGGGGGAAGACAGGCAGCAAGGUGGCACAGCUCCAUUCCUUCCCCCAAUGGCUUG